UACGGGGGGGGCAAGCGUUGUUCGGAAUUACUGGGCGUAAAGGGCUCGUAGGUGGCCAACUAAGUCAUACGUGAAAUCCCUCGGCUUAACCGGGGAACUGCGUGUGAUACUGGAUGGCUUGAGUUCGGGAGAGGGAUGCGGAAUUCCAGGUGUAGCGGUGAAAUGCGUAGAUAUCUGGAGGAACACCGGUGGCGAAGGCGGCAUCCUGGACCGACACUGACACUGAGGAGCGAAAGCCAGGGGAGCAAACAGG
RNAcentral lists this ribosomal RNA (253 nucleotides) under uncultured bacterium. RNAcentral's name for it is "partial 16S ribosomal RNA". It matches the Rfam family "Bacterial small subunit ribosomal RNA", at positions 524 to 776 of the family's 1533-position model. The record is from RNAcentral.